GAUGAACGCUGGCGGCGUGCCUAAUACAUGCAAGUCGAGCGCUGAAGGUUGGUACUUGUACCUCCUGGAUGAGCAGCGAACGGGUGAGUAACGCGUGGGGAAUCUGCCUUUGAGCGGGGGAUAACUUCUGGAAACGAAUGCUAAUACCGCAUAAAAAAUUUAAACACAAGUUUUAAGAUUGAAAGAUGCAAUUGCAUUACCCAAAGGUGAUCUCGCGUUGUCUUAGCUAGUUGGUGAAGUAAAGGCUCACCAAGGCGAAGAUACAUAGCCGACCUGAGGGGGUGAACCGCCACAAUGGGACUGGGAAACGGGCCAAACUCCUACGGGAAGGAGCAGUAGGGAAUCUUCGGCAAAGGACGGAAGGCUUAACGGACAACGCCGGCGGGGUGGAGGAAGGUCUCGGGUCGGAAAACUCUGGUGAUAGGGAAGAAAGAUGGGGGGAAUGGAAUGCGCAUCAAUUGACGGUAACUACCCAGAAAGCGACGGCUAACUACGUG
RNAcentral lists this ribosomal RNA (497 nucleotides) under uncultured bacterium. RNAcentral describes it as "partial 16S ribosomal RNA". It matches the Rfam family "Bacterial small subunit ribosomal RNA", at positions 28 to 507 of the family's 1533-position model. The record is from RNAcentral.